CACAAAUUCUUUCAUAGGGUUUAUUCAUUGCAUAAUAUUGCAUGUAGCAGCAACGAAUAUUUGGCUUAAGCAGAGGAACUACAGACGUGGCCAACUGAAUACCUACUCGCUGUAAGGAAGGAAACUGCUUCUUACGGUUUGCUGACUUUAGCACUAAUUUCUCUCCUCUUCAACUUCAAGAUGUCAUGUAAAAUGUCAUUUGUGCAUGUUUUGCUAAACGAACAAGGCAAUUGGCAUCCCUUACUGUCCUGGCGGAAAGGAACGCAAAAUUCCCCAUCAUAAAUGGAGUAAUCAGGUAAGUGUAAUAGAAUGCGUGCUUUUAGAGUUUUGUAUUGUUAUAAAUA
Molecule: long non-coding RNA, 344 nt
Filed under: Pan troglodytes (chimpanzee)
Lineage: Eukaryota; Metazoa; Chordata; Mammalia; Primates; Hominidae
Description: lncRNA (ENSPTRG00000053815.1)
Source: RNAcentral